This 232-nucleotide ribosomal RNA is filed under the name uncultured bacterium. RNAcentral describes it as "partial 16S ribosomal RNA". It matches the Rfam family "Bacterial small subunit ribosomal RNA", at positions 118 to 348 of the family's 1533-position model. The record is from RNAcentral.
UGAGGAACAUGACCUUCGGCGGGGGAGUAGCCGGCCCAACGGCCGGGUAAUACCGCGUACGACCACAUGGGGACAUCCCCGAGUGGUGAAAGCAGCAAUGCGCCGAUGGAGUGCCUCGCGGCCUAUCAGCUAGUUGGUGAGGUAACGGCUCACCAAGGCGACGACGGGUAGCUGGUCUGAGAGGAUGGCCAGCCACAUUGGGACUGAGACACGGCCCAGACUCCUAGGGAGG